AGUGAACGCUGGCGGCGUGCCUAAUACAUGCAAGUCGAACGCGAAAGUCCUUCGGGAUGAGUAAAGUGGCGCACGGGUGAGUAAUACAUGGGAACAUGCCCUUGGAUGGGGAAUAACGUUUGGAAACGAACGCUAAUACCGCAUAAUCUCGCGAGAGUAAAGGUGGCGCCGCAAGGGCUACCGUCCACGGAUUGGCCCAUGUGCCAUUAGCUAGUUGGCGGGGUAAUGGCCCACCAAGGCAACGAUGGGUAACUGGUCUGAGAGGAUGAUCAGUCACACUUGAACUGAGACGCGGUCCAGACUCCUACGGGAGGCAGCAGUAGGGAAUAUUGCACAAUGGGGGAAACCCUGAUGCAGCAACGCCGCGUGAGUGAAGAAGGCCCUUGGGUUGUAAAGCUCUUUAGCGUGGGAAGAAGGUAGAUAUGGUGAAUAAUCAUGUUUGCUGACGGUACCACGAGAAUAAGCACCGGCUAAUUUCGUGCCAGCCGCCGCGGUAA
This 497-nucleotide ribosomal RNA is filed under the name uncultured bacterium. RNAcentral's name for it is "partial 16S ribosomal RNA". It matches the Rfam family "Bacterial small subunit ribosomal RNA", at positions 29 to 523 of the family's 1533-position model. The record is from RNAcentral.